ACACACACACACAUACACAUACACACACACACACACAUACAUGCAUAUAUAUAUACAUACAUAUAUAUGUAUAUACAGGACAAAACAGACAAUCGUAACAGGCUACCUGAGGGUCUCAAUAAAUGUGCCAAGCCCAGAGGAAUUCAACUAAAAAAAUAAAAGGUCAUUAGACAUGUUUCUCAAAGCCCAGGAAAAUUAAAUGUCCAAUUUCAGGAUGCAAAUUUUGCCAAUAGGGAUGCAGGGAAAGUUGAUCAAUACCAUAUCCUCCUCAUCCAGUGCAUUUUUUUAAAUAAUAAAUAAAUUAGUAUAAAUAAAUUUAAUAAUAAAUAAAUCAGUUCAACACAGGUAACCAUUUUUGCUUCAUUUCUUUGAUGGCUCAAAUGUAUGCUCUAGUCGAUUUUGUGUUUUGGCCAUUUGUGAACCACAUUAAACAGUUUCAUUUACCAUGCUUUAAGGGUGUUUUGCCAUGUCAUCACCAUUCAUAUCUAUACAAUACAACUAACGUUUAAAUUAUUAAAUUAUUACUAGAGCACAAAAUUGUUCACAAGAGCAAAGCUCUUAACAGAUCUAGACUCUAGAGAAUUUUGUGUACCAGACAAAAUUUUCUUACGGAGGAGCAUGCCCCCCUCCCCCCAUGGGGUCAGAGGUCCACCCCCCACAGUCUGACAAAAUCCUGUGGGGAAACACUGAAAGGCCCAAAUAUAAUUCACUGUCUGAUUUCAUGAUCGCCCUUGUUCCGAUAUUCACUUGCAUAUCUAAUGUAUGGAUUAAAAGGAUUAAAAUCGACAACCCCUAGAUGGCACGCCAGAGCUGAAACAUCUCUGUCCAUCUGGUUUCCAAGUCAAACUGAAGCAAACUCAAGCCCAACAAUAGAACAGACUUAUGAGAACCAUUUCUCUUUAAAACUCAAUGCAGUGGGCAUGGCUGUUGUCAAUGGGCUGUGUCUGAAAUGCGUAUUUACUACUCUAAAAGUCCAGAAGACUAGUAAUUAAAACAUGCCUACUGGUGAGCUUUUUUUUAAUUUAUUUAUUCAAAGACUAACUGUAAUAGGGUUGGUGACCACUCAUCUAGAAUAAAAAAAAGUAUGUAUUUAAGAUACAAAGCUAGUUGGUUUAGUUAGUUUGGGACACAGUGUCAUAGUGCUAUACUGCCUCCAGUAUUUCUGCUGAUCUGCACAAUCAAUGCGUCAAAUGACUGCUGCACCCAUCUUGUGUGUGCAUAGUUAACAGCAAGUAUAAAUCAGCCUCGAGUUCUCCUCAAAUUGCAUCUCUUACUAACACAGAGCCUACAAGGAAGUAUAUAAUGUUAGCUAAAUUGAUAAAGAACGCAAAAUAUUCUCUAUUUACCUUGACAGAAAGCGAGGGUGCAUACACAAGCAUCUCCAUGCAAACAGAGAGCAUAUGGGAUUUGGGAAGCAUGCUCAGCUUCCAAGAAGUGUCUGUUAAUAUCAAAGAGUACAAAACACCAUUGCAGGAUCAUCCCAGAUUCACAUGUCGAUUGCCUAAUCUCCCGUUUAAUUGGGGGUGAAAAAGACUGCUUUUUUGGUGUAAUGUCUAUACAAAAACAAACUAUUGUGUAUUGGUGUAUUGUCUAUGAACCUGGAUAUUUACGUCACAUGGUCAUAUGAUCACGAUAUAUUCACAACAUGGUGUCCAAAUUGUUGAAGAGGCACUGGAGUAAAGAAGAGACGCUGGUUCCUCUUUUACCAAAAAGCAUCCAUUUUUCGUUUGGCGAUUCAGGAAGUGUUUAAUAUCUGGGUAGGGUCAUUGAUACGCAUACUACAAGUCUAAAUACAACAAGUAGCAGCAGUCAAACAUCUUUUUUUCACCCCACUACAUGAGGUGACAUCUGCAUAGAAAAUCAGACGUGUAUCCAGACAGGACUAAAAUAAUCAGACAACUGCUGAGUUUGGUGAAAAACUCAAAAAAUAAGCCUGUCAUUUUCUCAGAGGAGAACACCAACAAUGGUUGAUCUGGGAUGACAACAAUUUAAAUAAAAUCACAGUGUAAACCCCAUGUACAUUUAAUCCCACCCAGACAGGGCUUAAAUUAGUUAAUUACAUUUAAAACCACAGUAGUUGCCCAAAGUGCUAUACAUAUAGGACUGCAAGAUUAUGGCCAAAAUGAUAAUCAUGAUUAUUUUUGAUCAAUAGUGAGAUCACGAUUAUUUAUAAUGAUUGAUUUUUUUAUUACAACAUAUUUUUAUUGCACUUUCACAUUUAAAUACAGACCACUGCUUUAACCUCCAUGUUGUGCUACAUUCCUGCUAAUGUACAAAUCUUUGCAUCAGUUUAGACUGAUCCUUAAAGUGCAUCAUCUCAUAGAAGCAAAAUAUAAAUAAAAUUGUACCCAAAAUAUAGGAUAAGCAAAAAUAAAUAUGUAAAUAUGCCAUCAACCAAAUGAAAAUAUGUAAUCAAAUAUAACAAUAUGCAACCAAAUGAAAACAAUUCAGGCCUUUGCAGAAAAGGCAAUAAGUGUUUACAGGAGGAGAGACGCAGCCAAAUCACCCAAUAGAGUGAUGACGGGAGGGAUGAUGUCAUUUUGUACCAAAACCUGGAAGUUAGCAUCACACUGGUUCCCUAGACAAAAACCCAAUAGGAUUUCCCAAUAGGCUUUUGGAUUAUCGCAAGAAAUAAGCUCUGUGAUCAACAAAAGUUUACAAUAUUAACACAUUUUGUCCAUCAAGAUCAUUUUCACAAAUUAACACAGCUUUUAUGAAGUUUGAAGCCUUUGUGAUAUGCUGGUUUGAAAAACUGAAAUAAGCAUUACAAAUUAAUAAAAUUAAUAAAAAGGCACAGCCUGCAACGAAAUGUCAAACAAUUAUCAUAAUUCUUGAAUACCAUAAUUGAGGCAUUUAAUCAAGAAAUGUAUUACAAACAAGCAAGCAUACUACAGAGAAAAUUUCAUGUCAGAGGGGAUUUGAGCUAAUUUUGUUUUACCAGUAAGUGCAAGAGGUACAUGAGUGAAGCGUUCGCUUGGGCUGCAAGCGAUUGAGCAAAGCGCACACGCAUAGAGCAGAAUAUUGAGCGGAGCGUCACACCACUCCACUCUGCUGACAUGCUCUGACCCACAUGUAUACAGCCAGUUCUCAAAAAGAAGUUUUUAUCCAUCCAUUUUCAAAAUAAUUGUCACAAACAGUGUUUCUGAAGAGAUCUCCACCCAAACAAAAAUGCAAAAACAACAUUAAAACAUUCUCAUGAGCACGUCAGCCAUAGAUAACCGCGAUACUAAAGCUUCAAAAUAAAAAUAAAUCAAAUUUCAUAAAAAGAACCUACAGUCAAGCAUGGUGGUGGCCUGGGCAACUUGCAAUAAUUGAGGGAAACAUGAAUUCUGCUCUCUACCAUAAAAUCCUAAAGGAGAAUGUCUUUAGUCAUUAAGCUGAAACUCGAGCGCAACUGAAUUAUACAGCGAGACAAUUAUCUAAAGCAUAAGACUAAGUCCUUGUCCUAGAAGUAACUGAAAGACUGAUCUCCAAUUAUCAGAAACAUUUGGUUGCGGUUAUUGCUGCUGAAGGUGGCACAAACAGAUUUAUGUUCAAGGGGCCAUUAGUUUUUCACAUUGGUGAUAAGUGUUGGAUAACUUUUAAUUCAAUAAAAAAAAUUUUUAAUAAAAUCUGUAGUGUGUUUACUCAGGUUGGCUUCGUUUUAUGUUAGGUAUUUCAUAUGAAGGUCUAAAACUAAUAAACACUAAACCACCUUGUCCCCAACAAGAGGUUUCAUUCAAACAUUCUUUAAUUUUUCUUUUUAAAUUCCACAAAAUAAUUAUUAUAAUAAUAAAAAAACACAACCAAUUUUUAUAUGGCACCUUUUCCACUCAUGCUGGACUAAAUUUGCAUUUCCCAGGCACUGCUUCGUCUUCACCAUAACACUGGUAUACUCAGUAAAUGUCGCUAGAUGAUGUCAUGCGCUAAUUAACAUAUUCCUUACGUAUACUUUCACUACUCUCCGUGCUCACAUACUGUAUUUUAAUACAGCCAAAUUCCCAAUAAACCUGUUCUCAUUGACAUUUUUCUGAUGUCAGACAGCGGAACGAGUAUGAAAUGGCGACCAAAAUGCGGCCCAUUAAGACUACAUGCUAAUCGGAAGUCACAUCCAAGCCAUUUACGUAAAAUCCUGAUUUUAUAACCGCGACAUUCUCUGACAAAAUCACCAUACACAUAAAUUAAAGACAACAGCUGUGCUGUGAUUUCAGCUGUAUUUACAUGUAAAAUGAUCACUCAGAGAAAACUGGAAGUGACAAUAUCCUGCUCCUCUGUGCCACUUACUGAACAGAGUAGCUAGAGAGAGAGAGAGAGAGAGAGAGAUGUACCUGCAGCAGGAAAGCAGGACUUCACACUCACGGGGCUGUACAGGCCACUCUCUUCUAUGGGAAGUUGCCAUGGUUUGCCCAAUAUUUUUACUGCACUUUCACAUUUAAAUAAACAGGUCACUGCUUUCACCACCAUGUUGUGCUACAUUCCUGCUAAAUGUACAAAUCUUUGCAUCAAAUUAGACUAGUCCUUAAUGUGCAUCAACUCGUAGAAGCAAAAUAUAAAUAAAAUUGUACCCAAAAUACAGGAGAAGUAAAAAUAAAAAUGCCAUCAACCAAAUAAAAAUAUGCUACCAAAUAAAAAAGUUCGGGCCUAUGCAGAACAGCAAUAACAGUGUUUACAGGAGGAGAGACGCAGCCAAAUCACCCAAUAGAGUGGUGCACAUCAUUUUGUACCAGAACCCGGAAGUUAGCAUUACACUGGUUCCCUCGACAAAAAGGGAUUUUCCCCAUAGGCUUUUGGAUUAUCGCAAGAAAUAAGCUCUGUGAUCAACAAAAGUUUACAAUAUUAACACAUUUUGUCCAUCAAGAUAAUUUUCACAAAUGAACACAGCUUUUAUGAAGUUUGAAGCCUAAAUGCAAUCGGCAGAAAUAAACAGCUAACCGUAUGCUAUAAACGAACUACACCACGGUUGCUCAACUUCAACGUCACCAUCACCAAGUUUCCGACAACUUUUCCGAACUUGAUUUAAAACAUUUUCCAUAAUACGGAUUUACUCUGUGGAUGAAUCUUCAUCCACGUUUUUGGGUGAAAAUUGUGCACAGCAUACCUGAAACAGUUUAUCUGCAAAGUUUUUUCCCUGUUCGGCGUGAUGACGUUUAAUAUCCCGGACAACAUCUGCAGUCCCAUUUAACGUCAUGAUUUACCCCAACGCAAAGAGCUGGAGCAGGAAGAGAAGCUGGCAGCUCCAGCACUAAAAUGCUAACACCAUUUCCAGGUUUUGGCAUACAAAAUGACGUCAUCCCCGCGCCACUCUAGGGUGACUGGCUCUAAAUUUAGGAAGCGCCUGAUUUGAUAUGCAGUGGAGUUUUCUAUGAGUGGAGGACGAACAUUAAAAGUCAAUAUCAAAGUCGAUCAUGUUCAUGUAAUUGUGGGCAGUCAAAAUCAUAAUUGCGAUCAAUAUUCGAUUAACUGUGCAGCCCUACUUCCAACACACCAUCUUUGAGAACUGACUGUUUACUUGCUGCUUAAUAUAUCCCUCCUCUUGACAGGUGCCACUGUAGCCGGAUAAUCAACGUUAUUCACUUCAUCGGUCACUGGUUUUAUGGUGUUAUGGCUGAUCACUGUAUAGCCAUGUAAACAGUUCAUACACCACAUGGAAAUUCUUGUCUUUUUUGACAUAUCUGGACAAGUAAACAUUUGAUCCUCUGAUACACUAUCAAAUGACAAAACUGACAUCAAGUAAUUUUCACAAUUUAAAUGAACAAAAAACAGAUCAGUCACACGGAAAAAUUAAGUACUCCCCUUCAUUUAUCACACCUUCAAAUCCAUAAAAUUAGAAUUAGGUGUAAAAGAUUGGUGUCAGUGAUGAGAACAUACUUAGGGAGUGCAGGUGGAACCUGUCUUAUUUAUAUCCCUCUAUCUAGUGUCUGGUGUUCCCUUCCCUUUAUGUGUGUGGUGUCAUCAUGCCAAGACCUAGAGAGUUCUGUAAGGCCUUCAGAAAAAAGGCUGUGGAUGCCUGUGAGUCUGGGAAGAGAUUUAAAAAGAUCUCCAAAUUAUUUGAAAUACAUCAUUCCGCUGUAAGGAAAACCUUCUACAAAUGGUGCAGAUUUCAGACGACUGCCAAUUUGUCCAGGAGUGGCCAUUCAGCCCAAGAGCAGACCAUCUGAUGCAAAAAGAAGUCCCCAAGAACCCCAAAAUUUAAUCACAGGAUCUGCUAUAAAUUCUUGCAACUGUUGGUGUCAAAGUGCAUGCUCCUACAAUCAGAAAGAGACUGCACAAAUUUGACGUGCAUGGGAAGCGUGCCAAGAAAAAGCCUUUGCUUUCUAUAAAGAACAUUAAAGCAAGACUACAGUUUGCCAAUGAGCAUAUAGUCAAAGACUAGGCCUUUUGAAAUUAUGUGCUCUGGACAGACAAAUCAAAGAGAGUUGUUUGCCCACAGUAACAACAGACAUGUUUGGCACUGACCAAAGACAGUGUUUCAAGAGCAGCACCUCAUACCAACUGUGAAGCACGGUGGUGGAAAUAUAAUGGUUUGGGGGAGCGUUGUUGCUGUGGACAAUUACACAAAACACCUACAAGAAGUUAUUUCUGCUACAGGGGGCAAUGCUAGAUUUUGAGACAAAGGGUGUACUUACUUACAUAUACAUACAUACAUAUAUAUACACACACAUAUACACAUAUACAUACA
This is a long non-coding RNA of Ictalurus punctatus (channel catfish), 6658 nucleotides long. The record is from Ensembl. Lineage: Eukaryota; Metazoa; Chordata; Actinopteri; Siluriformes; Ictaluridae.